RNAcentral lists this ribosomal RNA (430 nucleotides) under uncultured bacterium. RNAcentral's name for it is "bacterial SSU rRNA". It matches the Rfam family "Bacterial small subunit ribosomal RNA", at positions 355 to 776 of the family's 1533-position model. The record is from RNAcentral.
UGGGGAAUUGUUCGCAAUGGGCGCAAGCCUGACGACGCAACGCCGCGUGGAGGAUGAAGGUCUUCGGAUUGUAAACUCCUGUCGAACGGGACGAACACCUUCCGGGUUAAUACUCCGGGAGGCUGACGGUACCGUGAGAGGAAGCCCCGGCUAACUCUGUGCCAGCAGCCGCGGUAAUACAGAGGGGGCAAGCGUUGUUCGGAAUUACUGGGCGUAAAGGGCGCGUAGGCGGCCCUCUAAGUCAGACGUGAAAUCCCUCGGCUCAACCGGGGAACUGCGUCUGAGACUGGAAGGCUUGAAUUCGGGAGAGGGAUGUGGAAUUCCAGGUGUAGCGGUGAAAUGCGUAGAUAUCUGGAGGAACACCGGUGGCGAAGGCGGCAUCCUGGACCGAUAUUGACGCUGAUGCGCGAAAGCCAGGGGAGCAAACGGG